UUUUCUUUUAAUAUAAUAUAAUGUAAUAUAAUAUAAUAUAAUAUAAUCAUAGAUACAUUUGUACUCUUAUUGUGCAUUUUAUUUAAUAUUUGAUGUUGGAUGAAUAUUGUUAAUUCUGCAUCUUUAAAUCUUGAAUUUAUUGCAUGAGCUUUUUUUUUCAAAAAUGUAUUGUUUAAUAUGUUUUUUUUUUCCGUUUGAGACAAUAGUGAAGUACAGUUUUAUGCAUAUUUAUGAAUUUAAUAAUGUUCUAUAUAUAAAUUGAACCACUGAAUACCGAGUAGUUUUAAUCUUUUGAAAGUUUUUUCUUUGUUUUUUUUUUUUUGCUAUAAAACACUAUAAAAAUAAAAUAAAAUGUGUACUUUUAUCAUGAUGUAUUUUAAACAAACAAACAAACAAACAAACAAACAAAAAAUCUGAAAUACCUGAUGGUUGAAGUUGUAAUGAAUAUAACUUUGGAACUUUUAUUUACUUUAUUACCUUCUUUUAAAAAAAAGAAAUUCUUUUCAGCUACAAGUAAGAGUUUCUCUAUAUUUAUUUACGCCUUUAAUAAUCGUGUAGGAUUGAAACUGAAUUCCUUUUUCGCUGUUGUUUAAACGUACUUCUCGGUCUGCUGCAGUGACAGUAUAAUGACUAACGGGAUGAUAAACGAAAGCAGCGACUCUGAGCACACUCACUGUGGAGCUCUCCCUCGGCCAGUUUGACGAUGAUGCCGGAGCCGUUCUUGAGGCCGCACCAGUAAACUCCGUCCCCCUGAGACAGGCUCCUCACAGACACGGUGAAGGCCUUGUCGUCGUCCUGCACGCUCAGACGCCCGCCGUCCAGCUCCUUCUCCCCGGACGUGAAGGUGAACCCUCUGCAGCAGCUCUGAUUGUUUGCCUCCUUUUUACACCAAACUCUCUCCGGGUAUUUUUGAGGAGAAAACUUGGAGUCGUAGGGACAUUUCAGCAUCUGCUCGGCAUGACAUACGUACACGACUGCGGAGAAGAACGCGGUUUCAGAGUGUCACGGCACAGAGAGAGAUGCCUCGAGAUGUUCUGGGCUUCUGUCGUUACUUUAAUUCCUCCCCAGUGCAUUUCUUUUCCCAUUUUACUUCCUCAGACCCUUUUCUCGUCCUUCCUUUUUCCUUUUCCUAUCCUCCUCAAUUCCCUUCCAAUUGACUUUACUUUGUUCCCCCCUUCCUUUUAAUACACUUUUACUUUCCAGGUCCCAGCAUCUGUUUUAUUUAUUUAUUUUUUUUAAAAUAAAGAUUAUACUGAGCUUUCAUCAUCAACUUUUUUGAUCAAAUAUUUGAUUGCAAUUAAAUUUUCAGAUUAGUCUAAUCACG
This is a long non-coding RNA of Ictalurus punctatus (channel catfish), 1324 nucleotides long. The record is from Ensembl. NCBI's taxonomy places the organism in Eukaryota, Metazoa, Chordata, Actinopteri, Siluriformes, Ictaluridae.